CGGCGGACGGGUGAGUAACGCGUGGGUAACCUGCCUCAUACAGGGGGAGUAACAGUUAGAAAUGACUGCUAAUACCGCAUAAGACCACAGCACCGCAUGGUGCAGGGGUAAAAACGUACCGGUGGUAUGAGAUGGACCCGCGUCUGAUUAGUUAGUUGGUGGGGUAACGGCCUACCAAGGCGGCGAUCAGUAGCCGACCUGAGAGGGUGACCGGCCACAUUGGGACUGAGACACGGCCCAAACUCCUACGGGAGGCAGCAUG
RNAcentral lists this ribosomal RNA (262 nucleotides) under uncultured bacterium. Its description in RNAcentral is "partial 16S ribosomal RNA". It matches the Rfam family "Bacterial small subunit ribosomal RNA", at positions 96 to 353 of the family's 1533-position model. The record is from RNAcentral.